UACGUAGGGUCCGAGCGUUGUCCGGAGUUACUGGGCGUAAAGGGCGCGCAGGCGGCGGCGUGGGUCCGGCGUGAAAGCCCCCGGCUCAACCGGGGAGGGUCGCCGGGGACCGCGCCGCUUGAGGGCGGCAGGGGCCGGUGGAAUGCCCGGUGUAGUGGUGAAAUGCGUAGAGAUCGGGCGGAACACCCGUGGCGAAGGCGGCCGGCUGGGCCGACCCUGACGCUGAGGCGCGAAGGCGUGGGGAGCGAACGGGAUUAGAAACCCCCGUAGUCC
Molecule: ribosomal RNA, 273 nt
Filed under: uncultured bacterium
Lineage: Bacteria
Description: partial 16S ribosomal RNA
Rfam family: Bacterial small subunit ribosomal RNA
Source: RNAcentral